GAUGAAGAACGUAGCGAAAUGCGAUAAGUAAUGUGAAUUGCAGAAUUCAGUGAAUCAUCGAAUCUUUGAACGCACAUUGCGCCCGCCAGUAUUCUGGCGGGCAUGCCUGUUCGAGCGUCAUUUCAACCAUCAAGCCCCCGGCUUGUGUUGGGGACCUGAGGCUGCCGCAGGCCCUGAAAACCAGUGGCGGGCUCGCUAGUCACUCCGAGCGUAGUAGUUACAUCUCGCUCAGGGCGUGCUGCGGGUUCCGGCCGUUAAAAGCCUUAUUUACCCAAGGUUGACCUCGGAUCAGGUAGGAAGACCCGCUGAACUUAAGCAUAUCAAUAAGCGGAGGA
RNAcentral lists this unclassified non-coding RNA (335 nucleotides) under soil metagenome. RNAcentral describes it as "partial contains 5.8S ribosomal RNA, internal transcribed spacer 2, and large subunit ribosomal RNA". The stretch from base 1 to 120 matches the Rfam family "5.8S ribosomal RNA", at positions 35 to 154 of the family's 154-position model. The record is from RNAcentral.